GGGCUAUUUAUUUAUUGUCGGUUAUACAUAUAACAAUACAACAUAUUAAAGGUCUGUAGAGCUUUUAUCCGACAUACAUAUAUGACAAGCACAAUACAUUUGUACAUGAAACAUAAAGCUCAUCACUGAGAUAGUAGUCUCAGAUAGAGGGAGGCGGGGUCAACCAAACUCCCCUAUUCAAUCUGAAUGCAGGACAGAAAGUCACAGUCAAAAAGUC
This 217-nucleotide long non-coding RNA is filed under the name Mytilus galloprovincialis (Mediterranean mussel). The record is from RNAcentral. Lineage: Eukaryota; Metazoa; Mollusca; Bivalvia; Mytilida; Mytilidae.